GGUGGCUAAUACCGGAUGUGCCGAAAGGUAAAAGGCUUGCUGCCUGAAGAUGAGCUCGCGUCUGAUUAGCUAGUUGGUGUGGUAAGAGCGCACCAAGGCGACGAUCAGUAGCUGGUCUGAGAGGAUGAUCAGCCACACUGGGACUGAGACACGGCCCAGACUCCUACGGGAGGGCAGCAGUGGGGAAUUUUCCGCAAUGGGCGAAAGCCUGACGGAGCAAUACCGCGUGAGGGAGGAAGGCUCUUGGGUUGUAAACCUCUUUUCUCAGGGAAGAAAAAAAUGACGGUACCUGAGGAAUCAGCAUCGGCUAACUCCGUGCCAGCAGCCGCGGUAAUACGGAGGAUGCAAGCGUUAUCCGGAAUGAUUGGGCGUAAAGCGUCCGCAGG
This 386-nucleotide ribosomal RNA is filed under the name Nostoc commune AUS-JR/BS/MS/NT-055. RNAcentral describes it as "bacterial SSU rRNA". It matches the Rfam family "Bacterial small subunit ribosomal RNA", at positions 158 to 575 of the family's 1533-position model. Lineage: Bacteria; Bacillati; Cyanobacteriota; Cyanophyceae; Nostocales; Nostocaceae. The record is from RNAcentral.